AGCUUGCUCCCUGGACUGUGCUUGGGUAUAUUUGCCAGGCCAGAAGAGCUGCUGGAAGUGGCCCUCAAGGGGCCUCUCUUUUCCCUCUGUCCCCAGCCACAAACAGUAAGAAUUGCUUCUCGCGAAGCCAGUCCUGUGCAGAAGCAGGCAUAACCCGGUGGCCUUCCUGUUUGAGUGUGGGAACUGCAAGACUGUGGCUGAAUCUAGGAGCCGUAUCUGUGCUCCACCCUUUCUCGCAGAAGCAGUGGGCUGACAUCGGUCUAGACUGAAGAGGGAAGAAGUUAUAGGAAGAAGAGAAGACACAGAGCCAGAGGUUACUGGGCGGUGCCACGGUUGGGCAUAUCGCAGUUGUCAGAGCUGGCAGUUGCUUCGGAGAGCCUGGGGUAUUCCAGUUUGUGCUAACAAUGACUCACAUGGGAGAUUUUCACUGAAACUGGCUCGAGUUCUGUGCUCUCAGUCUCCCAGACCUGCUCUCUUCAUAUUUUCCUUUGAGUCGGCUGUCUAGGUCCCUGCACACUUACGAAGCCAGGCACCAUGAGGGAGCUGGAUCAAAAAUGGAAUAACCAACACGUAAACCAACACCCUCAUGGAAUUCACG
Ochotona princeps (American pika) is the source of this 598-nucleotide long non-coding RNA. RefSeq lists it as uncharacterized. The transcript has 3 exons. NCBI's taxonomy places the organism in Eukaryota, Metazoa, Chordata, Mammalia, Lagomorpha, Ochotonidae. The record is from RefSeq and is a predicted model, not a curated record.